CGGGAAACUGGGGAUAAUACUCGAUGAUCUCGUGAGAGCAAAGGUGUGACUCCGCCGGAGGAGCGGCUGACGUGGUAUUAGGUAGUUGGUAGGGUAUUGGCCUACCAAGCCUGGGAUGCCUAGGGGGUGUGAGAGCAUGGCCCCCACCAUUGGGACUGAGAAACUGCCCAGACACCUACGGGUGGCUGCAGUCGAGGAUCUUCGGCAAUGGGCGCAAGCCUGACCGAGCGACGCCGCGUGCGGGAUGAAGGCCUUCGGGUUGUAAACCGCUGUCAGGGGGGAUGAAAUCAUGGUGGGUACUCCCAUCAUGUUGACAGAGCCCCAGAGGAAGCGCGGGCUAAGUUCGUGCCAGCCGCCGCGGUAACA
RNAcentral lists this ribosomal RNA (366 nucleotides) under uncultured bacterium. Its description in RNAcentral is "partial 16S ribosomal RNA". It matches the Rfam family "Bacterial small subunit ribosomal RNA", at positions 150 to 525 of the family's 1533-position model. The record is from RNAcentral.